Molecule: microRNA precursor, 76 nt
Filed under: Ovis aries (sheep)
Lineage: Eukaryota; Metazoa; Chordata; Mammalia; Artiodactyla; Bovidae
Description: miRNA (ENSOARG00000022553.1)
Source: RNAcentral
CAGGGUUGGUCAAAAAAGUUUGUUUGGGUUUUUCUAUAACUGCUUAUGGAAAAAUCCAAAUGAAUUUUUUGGUCAA